This is a long non-coding RNA of Trifolium pratense (red clover), 396 nucleotides long. RefSeq lists it as uncharacterized. The record is from RefSeq and is a predicted model, not a curated record. The transcript is spliced from 2 exons. Lineage: Eukaryota; Viridiplantae; Streptophyta; Magnoliopsida; Fabales; Fabaceae.
ACCAACUUGGGCGGCGCAAGCAGCGGCGCAGCGGUGGGCGAAGCAGCGGCGCCGUAGUCGGAGAUGACGCAGCGGCGCCUAUGGUUGGAGAUGACUAGCUGCGAGAGACGACGGAAUGUGCUUAACAAUGAAUAUGCAUGACUCAAUUUCUUGGCUUUGGAUGCACUACUUUGUGGUUUUGGAUGAAGCUUGAAAUUGUUAUCAACUGGUGUAUUGAUGUAGUGUUUUGUUGCUUUGGAAGGGAUAUAGAUUAAUGAUAAGUGGUGAAGUUAGGAACAUUGUACAGUUAUCAUAUUAUAAAAGGGGCCAAUGGUUGUAAAAGGGGCUUGGUUUGGUUUAUGGCUACUCUAUUGUAAAAAUUUCAUAUUAAAUAAAUGAGGUUGUUUUGUUCUCAAA